UGGGGAAUAUUGCACAAUGGGCGCAAGCCUGAUGCAGCCAUGCCGCGUGUGUGAAGAAGGCCUUCGGGUUGUAAAGCACUUUCAGCGAGGAGGAAGGUGGUGAGCUUAAUACGCUCAUCAAUUGACGUUACUCGCAGAAGAAGCACCGGCUAACUCCGUGCCAGCAGCCGCGGUAAUACGGAGGGUGCAAGCGUUAAUCGGAAUUACUGGGCGUAAAGCGCACGCAGGUGGUUUGUUAAGUCAGAUGUGAAAUCCCCGGGCUCAACCUGGGAACUGCAUUUGAAACUGGCAAGCUAGAGUCUCGUAGAGGGGGGUAGAAUUCCAGGUGUAGCGGUGAAAUGCGUAGAGAUCUGGAGGAAUACCGGUGGCGAAGGCGGCCCCCUGGACGAAGACUGACGCUCAGGUGCGAAAGCGUGGGGCAGCAAACAGGAUUAGAUACCCUGGUAGUCCAGCGCUGUAAACGAUGUCGAUUUGGAGGUUGUGCCCUUGAGGCGUGGCUUCCGGAGCUAACGCGUUAAAUCGACCGCCUGGGGAGUACGGCCGCAAGGUUAAAACUCAAAGGAAUUGACGGGGUCAUAGCU
RNAcentral lists this ribosomal RNA (581 nucleotides) under uncultured bacterium. Its description in RNAcentral is "partial 16S ribosomal RNA". It matches the Rfam family "Bacterial small subunit ribosomal RNA", at positions 355 to 926 of the family's 1533-position model. The record is from RNAcentral.